GCGGUUAGUAGCAAUACUAACUGAGUGGCGAACGGGUGAGUAACACGUGGGUGACCUACCUUCGAGUGGGGGAUAACGUCCCGAAAGGGACGCUAAUACCGCAUAACAUCCUGCCUUUGAACAGGCGGAGAUCAAAGCCGGGGAUCGCAAGACCUGGCGCUUGAUGAGGGGCCCGCGUCUGAUUAGCUAGUUGGUGAGGUAACGGCCCACCAAGGCGACGAUCAGUAUCCGGCCUGAGAGGGCGGACGGACACACUGGGACUGAGACACGGCCCAGACUCCUACGGGAGGCAGCAGUGGGGAAUUGUUCACAAUGGGCGCAAGCCUGAUGACGCAACGCCGCGUGGAGGAUGAAGGUCUUCGGAUUGUAAACUCCUGUUGCUCGGGACGAAAAGCUUCGACCUAAUACGUCGAGGUCUGACGGUACCGAGUGAGGAAGCCCCGGCUAACUCUGUGCCAGCAGCCGCGGUAAUACAGAGGGGGCAAGCGUUGUUCGGAAUUACUGGGCGUAAAGGGCGCGUAGGCGGCCUGCUAAGUCGAACGUGAAAUCCCCGAGCUCAACUCGGGAACUGCGUCCGAUACUGACAGGCUUGAAUCCGGGAGAGGGAUGCGGAAUUCCAGGUGUAGCGGUGAAAUGCGUAGAUAUCUGGAGGAACACCGGUGGCGAAGGCGGCAUCCUGGACCGGCAUUGACGCUGAGGCGCGAAAGCUAGGGGAGCAAA
This 720-nucleotide ribosomal RNA is filed under the name uncultured Acidobacteriota bacterium. RNAcentral's name for it is "bacterial SSU rRNA". It matches the Rfam family "Bacterial small subunit ribosomal RNA", at positions 68 to 772 of the family's 1533-position model. Lineage: Bacteria; Pseudomonadati; Acidobacteriota. The record is from RNAcentral.